UACGUAGGGUGCAAGCGUUGUCCGGAAUUAUUGGGCGUAAAGAGCUCGUAGGCGGUUUGUUGCGUCGGAUGUGAAAACCCGGGGCUCAACCCCGGGCCUGCAUUCGAUACGGGCAGACUAGAGUUCGGUAGGGGAGUCUGGAAUUCCUGGUGUAGCGGUGAAAUGCGCAGAUAUCAGGAGGAACACCGGUGGCGAAGGCGGGACUCUGGGCCGAUACUGACGCUGAGGAGCGAAAGCGUGGGGAGCGAACAGG
RNAcentral lists this ribosomal RNA (253 nucleotides) under uncultured bacterium. Its description in RNAcentral is "partial 16S ribosomal RNA". It matches the Rfam family "Bacterial small subunit ribosomal RNA", at positions 524 to 776 of the family's 1533-position model. The record is from RNAcentral.